GGGGUUGACGUGGAUUUGACAGCAUUGCAAAGUGGUAUGUAAGCAUGCAGAGCCGGAGUGACAACAGCUCUAUAAUCACGGGUCUCGAACAAUAACUGGCGAAAACAACUAUGCUCUCGCUGCCUAAUCGAAUAACAGUAGAUUGGCUUUAUUUUGGGCUAAGAGCCUGAAACGAGACGUCUCUCAAAAGCCCUUCCUUAAGGCUCGUUGGUACAGAGGCGCAGACAAUUUAAGGAUAGCCUGCGGCGUGCUCCUCGCCAAUGGCGAAAUAACCAAAGAGCUAAGGUGCAAUUCGGGCGUCGACUCCCACAUUGCACACGAAAACCAAUAGCCGAAUAAGCAUGUAGAAAGCAUAUUGCUUCAGUGUUUGGACUGGGGUUCGAUUCCCCACAGCUCCACCA
Molecule: transfer-messenger RNA, 401 nt
Filed under: Bacteroidales
Lineage: Bacteria; Pseudomonadati; Bacteroidota; Bacteroidia
Also listed under: 1 other name
Description: W3P20-009 sp017960905 Standard tmRNA
Rfam family: transfer-messenger RNA
About the family: Bacterial tmRNA, also known as 10Sa RNA or SsrA, is named for its dual tRNA and mRNA-like properties.
Source: RNAcentral